AAGGAACCAAGACAACACGGGAUCUGGAGACAGAAAUUUCCUCCUCUUUUAGCUAGAGUGCUUCACCACUAUUACUUCUCUCCUGCAAACAGCUGAACCAUGGGACAGAAAUUGCUGAAGCCACCUAACACAGAGAUGUUACAGGAGCCUCAAACUGAUGUUGAACAGUAGGCAAAUUUGUUCUGUACUGUCUCACCCAGGACUGUCAGUUAAGAAGAAAUGUCAAGGGACAGGCUGUUAAAAAUAACAAAGAGACUGUAGAAGAACUAACAGGUCAAUGAGGACAAACAUCUCAAGGAAAUUGCUUAAAAUUAAACAUGACUUUUAAGUUAUCACAGAAUAACUUCCUUUCAAAGAAUUCUUAAUCUUUUGUCAAUAUGUAGUGCAGUCAAUGCAUACGUCAAUAUGUAUUGGGAAAUACCUGAAAGAUAAGCCCUAUUAUAGCUAUGACAUUUAUGCAUUGUUAAAUUAAUUAUUGCUCCAAAUAACUGGCAACCUAAAUAGAAAACGUAGUUGUGCUAGUUGUAUAUUAAUUGUUUUUUGGUGAGCAGGGAAGAAGCCAGUUAUGGAAGUGAUUUUCCAAGAGAAGCUGGUAGAAGUUUCCUCUGUGCCUGACAAAAACCAAUCAGUGACUAGUUUUGAAUAUUGACACUUUGUUAAACCGCUAGAAAGCUGAACACGGCUCUGUGAACGCACAUGUUAAAAUGCACAAACUCUGGGAAAAACUCUCUUACUUCCAGCCUUUGGAGAGAGAAGUUCCCCCCUCGCCUCCUGGCCUGGUGGCCUGGUGGUCAAGGGGAGGCCAUGGAGCCCCCAGCCAAGGCAGGGCUGGGCCAUGGCUGAUACCAUCCUGCUGACAUUAAGCCCUGCCAGGCUGCCUGCCCAUGAGGCCUAGAGGGGCCCAACCUGGCUCUUGCAGCUGCUGGACAGACAGAGGGAAAGCCAUCAGUUUUUCAGCCUGCAGCUGGAAUUGAAUGAAGCAGGGGCUGGUCUCCAGCACCUCCAUUCUGUCUGGGCCCCCUGAGAUCCUGACACAGCCCUCCCAGUGCGGCCUGAAGAUCCAUCAUUGUGACUGCUUUGGCAGACGCCCGGCCUGGAUCACAUAACCAUCUGCAGGGCGAGAUAUUAACUCUUUUAGUUAAUGAAACGUACAAAUAUCAAUUCUUUCUUGAGUGAAAGAAAAGGAAAGAGUGAAGAUACAGAGAGAACAACAUGAGACAUGAAGGUCAGGAAGAAGUCAAGUUCCAGAUGGAAGGGAUUGAGGAGAUGCCUCAGUCCUGGGCUGAAAUCCUCUUGCCAGGCUAUGGAGUAGAUAUAAUUUAUACAUCAGACUCUUUUUCCCUCUUACUCAUUGAAAGGUAUGGGAGAUGGAGCUUUCAAAUUGUAGAUAUGGGCAAAGGCAUCUAUGCUAAAGCAAGCAGAUGUUGACAUAGCUGUGAUCCCAUGAGAAAUUUGAACAGAGAGAGAGAAGAGUGAUGAAGACCCUUUGCCCCCUGGGAAAGAAGAAGACCUCUAUUCCCAGAGAUGAAGAUCUCAGAGAUACAUAAAGAGAACCUUUGCUCUAGAACAGCUCAUGUCAACUUAUGAGGUACCUUAAAAUAGUAACCCAUAAGUUGACUUGGCCCAUGAACACAACUGUGGGAAGGCUGCAAGAGAUGGGAGGGACUUCACAAUUCCAGCUGCAGAUUCCUGGGCAGCUGCUAUUUGUGGAAAUUAAAAUCUAUAAAAGAACUGUUUUCUUGUGGAGAAGUCUCCAUAGCAUUACAAGAGAGACUCCUCUCCCAAAGUGAACUGAAGAAAGUCUCUUCUACAAGUGAAAAACUGACUGAAUUGUUUCUGUGUGUUGUUAGUGGGAAAGAAAAGAUUGCAGGGGGGAGGAGAAGUGUUCUUACUAAAAGUUUAAUUCUUAUUGUUCUUUCCUUUAGUUAUUGUUAAUAA
Zonotrichia albicollis (white-throated sparrow) is the source of this 1938-nucleotide long non-coding RNA. RefSeq lists it as uncharacterized. NCBI's taxonomy places the organism in Eukaryota, Metazoa, Chordata, Aves, Passeriformes, Passerellidae. The record is from RefSeq and is a predicted model, not a curated record.